GUUGUCGCCACGCCAGAUGCUACGCUCCCACCCAUCCUGAAUGCGCUCGAGAUAUACUCGGUGCAGCAGAUGACUGAGCUUGGGACGAACAAUGCAGAUGGUAUCUAACACUUAAAUCCAGUGUGCCAUUGUCAAUUGUCUUAAUUUGGCUUGAAGUCCAGGUCCAGUUUUGAGUAAUUUGUUUGGAUAGCGUAAAGCAAGGAUUCACGGAUACCUUGUCUUUUCCCACGUGAACAGCCGAGUCCAUGAUGAAAAUUCGCAAGGCGUAUGUGCUGAAGAAAAACUGGAUGGGUGAUCCUUGUGCACCGAAGGCAUUUGCGUGGGAUGGCGUGAACUGUAGUUACUCUUCAUCUGAUCCUGCAUGGAUAACAGCUUUGUAAGUUCUAAGCAUACAAGCAUUUCAAGAAAAAAAUUACCAAGUGCACAAGAACUGCACAUCCAUGCUUGCACGGAAAGAUUCAAAAGAAAGCUUUUCCAUGUCCUGGUAUUAAUCUACUAUGGGAUUUGCUACAGAAACUUGUCAUCUAGUGUGUUGGCUGGUGCAGUUGAUUCUUCUUUUGGCGAUCUAAAAUCCAUACUAAAUUUGUAAGUGCUCAAUGUCAUCAUACAACAUAUUCUGCUUACUCAUUAUGAGCCUAAUAACUCCUAAUUCUCAUCUCCACAACUCUAAGCAGUAUAAAUUUACUCAUGUGUGCUGAUUUUACCUAUUAGAGUAUUCUCAUAAGACAUACAAUUCCAGGGAAUUGUCCAAUAUAGCCUGUCUGGUCCAAUACCUGAUUUUCUAGGACAAAUGCCAUCACUCAUUUUCCUGUAAGUAUUCGUGUCCACUCAAAUUUACUUUACACUAAAUUGUGUAAGUAUAUUAAACUGUUUCCGGUUUCCACGGUGAUUUGUCAAGCAAUAAACUCAGUGGACCGAUUCCGACAGCUCUACAAGAAAAGCAUCAAAAUGGAUCUCUUACGCUAAGGUUUGCAUCAUGUAGCUAACUUAUGACUUUUGGCAUCAUUUCAAGGGAAUAGUUUAUGAGCCCUUGCGACCGGAGUAGGUCUAGAGCAAAGAUUUCCCCUUUUAGAAUUAUUUGUUUUUUCUAAUGUAUUUACUCCUCAGGGAAUUAAUAAGGAAACAGCAUCUAUACUUCAUAGUUCAUGCAAACAACUAUACUUCUGCAAUUGUUUUCUCUAUAUUUAAUUAAUUCGGAUAUUGCCUCUGUAAUGCUAGGAUUGCUAACAACGCGAAUAUCUGUGACAAUGGUGCUUCUACAUGUGAUCCAGACGACAAGAAAAAUAGCAGGACACGCAUCAUUAAAAUAGUUGUACCAAUAGCUGUAGCAGCUGUACUGUUUGUGGCAGCAAUUCUUAUCCUUCACAGAAGGAAAAAUAAACAAGGUAACGUUUUCAUCAAGGAACCACUAAAUUUGUAGUAACUAAAGAUCUAUCAUAUAAGAUCAGGUUGGAUUCCAGAUACAUGGAUGGCGAAGAACUUAAGGCUUAAUAGCCCUCGGGAGAGGUCAAACUUAUUUGGGAACAGACAGUUCAGUUACAAAGAGCUGAAGCUCAUCACAGCUAACUUCAGAGAAGAAAUAGGGCGAGGAGGAUUUGGUGCUGUGUUUCUAGGUCAUUUAGAGAAUGAAAAUGCAGUUGCUGUGAAGAUCCGUUCAAAAACAUCAUCUCAAGGGGAUAAAGAGUUUCUAGCUGAGGUAGGCUGUUAACUUGAAAUUUACCGUUUGUUUGCUCAAUACAUAGUUCUUAUUGCAAAUUGUAGUGCAGGCUCAACACUUGAGUCGAGUUCAUCACAAGAAUCUGGUUUCCUUGAUUGGUUAUUGCAAGGACAAGAAACAUCUGGCCCUUGUCUAUGAAUAUAUGCAUGGAGGAGACCUACAGGAAUGCUUAAGAGGUAAAUUCAUCUCUCCCCUAACAAAAUUCAGCUUUCAAAUAGGCACCUCAUUAGAUCAACAUAGUCUUUCACUCAUGUGUCCAUUGUUUCAACUUUAUAAUUACACUCACAGCAUGAUGACAGAGAAAAGAAGACACCAUUCUGAAUAGUGAGUAAAGACACACUUCCUAUAGAGGAUGUUAUAUUUUUGAACCUAAAAAUCUUGUGUAUUUACCAACUGUUAACUGCUCUAUACCAUGUCAACUGUGAAUGGGCUGCACUCAUGUGUGCACUCCAGUAUUAACAGAUUUGUGAACAAAGCAACCAAGUUCUCCUAAAAGCACACUUUUACAUUUUGGCCAAACUACACCAAUAAAUAACAUACUUUUAUUUGUCAGCCUCUUACUGUUCUGCAUAAACCCAUUUAUAGCCAUAUUUUGUAACACUCUGUCACAGGAGAAGCUUCUGUUGCUACACCCCUCAGUUGGCACCGACGCCUCAGGAUUGCUCUCGACUCUGCCCAUGGUUUGUAUAACUAUAUGUCCAAAAUUUUAUUACAGUAGUAACAAAAUCAUCAUGAUUUACAGGACUAUUACACACAUUGAUGUCCUGACUUGAUACACAUACCAGUUAAACCUAGCAAAACAUCAUGCCUCUGGCCAAAUUUGGCUAGUUUUUAGCCUAAUCCGUCGUAACCUGUUAUUAUCUACUUAUUGGUCAUGCAUACAGGAUUGGAGUAUCUACACAAGUCCUGCCAACCGCCACUGAUCCAUAGGGAUGUGAAGACAAAGAACAUCCUGCUAACUGCUGACCUAGAGGCAAAGGUAUCCGACCUUGGCCUCACGAAGGUGUUUCCAAACGAGUUCAUGACCCAUAUCACCACCCAACCAGCAGGUACACUGGGGUACCUUGACCCUGAAUACUACAACACAUCCCGUCUUAGUGAGAAGAGUGACGUUUACAGCUUUGGAGUUGUACUACUGGAGCUCAUCACCGGCCAGCCGCCAGCAGUCGCAGUCAGUGACACCGAGAGCAUCCACAUCGCCCAGUGGGUGCACCAGAAGCUCUCGGAGGGUAACAUCAAGAGCAUUGCCGACUCGAAGAUGGGGAUGUGUUGGAUCAAAACACAGGGAUCGCACGACACAAGUACCGCGUCGAGUACUUUCCGACGAGGCCUCACUUGCGAAGGUAGUUGCUGGUAAUCACCAAUUACUUCCGGCAAGAUGCACACGUAUACUAGUAUACGACCCAAGAAAUCAGUCAGCAACUAAGCUACUACUCACGUCGCGCACGCAUGAGGCAAAAACGAUUGGAGUUUGAUGGCCACAGGCACGUAUCGUGCCUGCUCUGUUUUUCUAUUUUUCUUAUUUUCUGGGGUUAGAGUUACAGGGUACGUAUACCCAUAUAUUUAUACAAGGCAAGGUCCAAACCGAAUAGAACUAGCUAACUGAAUACGAUUCACUUCACAAAUCCUAAACCGAAACUAAUACGUUCUGAUCUUAAGCUCACAUUCUCUCCCUAAGAUCAAAACGAACUUCUACUUGAUAACGUCGACGCCGAUCUUCUUCCUCAUCUCUUGAAAUUUCACUCUUCCAAGAGAUUUCGUCAAUAUGUCGGCCAGCUGCUCAUCUGUACUGAUGUAAUCAACAUCAAGCUUGCCUUCUUCCACACAUCCUCGUAUGUAAUGAAACCGGGUGUCGAUAUGUUUACUUCUAUCAUGAAACACCGGAUUCUUACACAGAGAUAUAGUGGACUUGUUGUCGAUCUUUAACUCAAACUUUUCUGGUUCUCAGUUUAGUAGAUCAGUAAGCAAUCGCUCUAGCCACACUCCCUGGCUUGCUGCGGUAGCUGCUGCAAUGUAUUCAGCUUCACACGAGGAUAGCGCCACAAGCUUCUGCUUCUGUGACAUCCAGCUCACAAUAUUUCCACCAAGGAAAAACGCCAUGCCCGAGGUAAUUUUACGGUCGUCAACGUCGCCGGCCAUAUCACUGUCACUGUACCCGACUAGUUGUGUCUUCUCCUCUUUCUUCUUUGAGUAAACACACCCAUAAUUCAGGGUUCCUUUGAUGUACCGCAAAAUCAUCUUCACCGCUGCAAAGUGUUCCGUUGUGGGGUUCUCCAUGAAUCGACUAACGAUCCCAACCGAGUAUGCCAAAUCUGGCCUUGUAUUCACCAAGUAUCUCAGACUUCCCACAAUACUUCUAUAUUCGGUAGUAUCAACAGGAUCUGCUUCGCUGUGUUUGCUCAAUUUAUGCCUUGCUUCCAUCGGUGCUGAGGUAGCAUUGCAGUCUUCCAUGCCGCACUUCUCAAGGAUUUUCCUCGCAUAAGCUUCUUGACACAAAGUUAUUGAGUCUCCUCGCUGACAUACUUCUAUCCCGAGGUAGUAGCUCAACAAACCAAGGUCACUCAUCUUGAAAAGAUCUAGCAUCUGCUUCUUGAAUCUUGCAAUCUCCCUCUCAUCUGCACCCGUGAUCAACAGAUCAUCAACAUAUACUCCAACUAGGAGCCGUUCCUUCCCAUCACCUCGUUUGUACAUAGCAUGCUCCAAUGGACUCUUCUCAAAUCCGAGGGACACCAAUGUAGCGUCCAGCUUGGUGUUCCAUGCCCCUCGGUGCUUGCCGUAGCCCGUACAAUGCCUUGUGCAGUCGCAACACCUUAUGUUCCGCUCCCCCUUCGAUGAAACCUGGAGGUUGUUGUACAUAUACUUCUUCUUGUAGGUCACCGUUCAAGAACGCUGAUUUCACAUCCAUAUAAUGCAGCUUCCAGGAUUCUUGAGCGGCCAAAGCAAUCAACAACCGUACCGAUUCCAUCCUUGUGACCGGAGCGAACACUUCCUCAAAAUCAACGCCUUGUUGCUGCACAUAGCCCUUUGCUACCAAGCGUGCUUUGUGCUUUACCACAUUGCCAUUGGAGUCUUUCUUCACUUUGAAUACCCACUUGAGGCCUAUGGGUUUAUGUCCGGCAGGGAGAUCAACCAAGCUCCAUGUCUUGUUAUCUUGGAUUGACCCCAUCUCCUCCUCCAUAGCCUUGCGCCAACUUUCUUCCUCGCUAGCUUCUUCAAACGAGGUUGGCUCUUCGGUACUUAACAAGCACCUUUCCUUCGUUGUGCGCUUCAUCUUGACCGUAUUCGUCUUGAGGAUCAUCUUCUUUGGAGAAGGGUACAACUCCGAUAGAGGUCGAAGUCGUUCGGGCGUCGGGCGUCGAGUCCGCGACCAAGUCUGCACCGGCGAUCGUACCAUCGUCGAUGCCCUUUGAGAGGUUGCUGCCGCGGUAGAAGUUUCAGCGUCUCCGCCGGCUGCUGCAUCCUCCCCUUCACUCGCUCCUGCCGCGGCAGAGGGAUCUUCUGCCGUGGCAGAAACUUCUGCCGUCUCUCGCGUCGUGGCAGACGCAGAUCUUCCUGCCGCGGUUUCUGCCGCGGCAGAAUUUUCUGUCGGGGAUCCUGCCGCGGUAGAGAUUCCUGCCGCUGUUCUUGCCGCGGAUGCCGGUGCUCUACUGAAGCUGAACACCGGUGUAGCGCCGCGGCACUGCGGCAUUCCUGGUGGAUCUCCGCCACCUGCGUCAUGGCCGUGGCCUUCUCCAUGGUUAUGACCUGCAUGCUCAGGGACAGGGUAAGAUACAACAAACAUAUCAUCCGAAUUUUGUUGAUUCUCUUCUUUGUUUGAGGACCAAUCCCAUGCCCUCUCUUCUUCAAAGACGACGUCGCAUGCCACGUGAACUUUUCUUGUUUGUGGAUCAUACACACGAUAAGCCUUCGAGUGUCCCUUCAAGCCUGCUUCAUAACCCAUCAAGAUCAUCGGCUUACUCCGGUCUUCCAGCUUUCCCACAUGUCCAGAAACAUUCUUCACAUGUGCCAUGCACCCAAAAGUACGAAGGUGAUCGACCGAAGGUUUUCUUCCACACCAAGCUUCAUAGGGUGUCAUGCCAAUGACACUUUUCGUCGGUGCACGGUUUAGCAAGUAUACCGCUGUAGUCACCGCUUCUCCCCAAAACCUCCCCGGCAAGCCUUUGCUCUUCAUCAUGCUUUGAGCCAUUGCUACCACGGUUUGGUUCCUUCUUUCAACAACACCGUUUUGCUGCGGUGUGUAUGGGGCUGUCAGAAAACGCUUGAUGCCAUGUUCCUCACAAUAUGCAGCAAACUCAUGUGAGAUAAAUUCCCCUCCUCGGUCAGUCCGGAAAGCCUUCAACUUUGCCUCUGCUUCUACUUCAGCAGCAAUCUUGAUCUUCUUGAAUGCUUGAAAUGCUUGAUCUUUCAUUUUAAGCAGCACAACCCACAUGUACCGACUGUAGUCAUCUACCACGAGUAGAAAAUAGCGAUUGCCGGCUGGGGUUGCAGGUGAAACUGGGCCACACAGAUCACCGUGAAACAAAUCUAGUACCUUCUCUGCCCGGUACUUUGCUUCUCUGGGAAACGGCGCUCGCCGUUGCUUCCCUACUAGGCAGCCAUCGCACACUUGUUCAACAUGAUCCACCAUCGGCAUCCCAACCACCAUGUCCUUCUGGCCGAGUUGUCGAAGCGAGUGAAAAUUCAAGUGCCCGUAGCGAGCGUGCCACCUCCAUGCUGGAUCAUCAACACCAGCUAACAAACAGAUCGGCUCUGUUUUGUCUAGGUCAAGAAUAUACAAGCGAUUCUUUGCCCUCUUGACCUUCAUCAGUAGCUUGCGUUGUCGGUCGUAGCCCCACAGGUACCCAUCCUCUAACACGAUUUUACAUCCCCUUUCCUCGAGUUGACCAAGACUGAUUAUAUUGCUUUUCAGCUUGGGGAUAUAAUAUACGUUGGUUAGUACCUUGUGAUCGCCAAAUCUUGUCUCGAAAAGAACUGUGCCUCACCCUUGUAUCACCACCGUGGAACCAUCUCCAAAACGCACCGAGCCACCCACGGCUAGGUUAAGCUCUGCGAAUUGGGUUUUGUCGCCAGUCAUGUGAUUGCUAGCGCCCGUGUCAAGGUACCACACAUUGCCCGCCUUCACUCUUGCUUUAUCAUGUAGGUAGACUUUCUUUUCAACAAGGGUUACGGACUCAGACUUCUCCUCGAUGACUUCCUCUUGACCUUCUUCCAUCAGCUCGCACAUCUCUACCAUCAGCAGCGCCGGAUCAUCAUCUUCUUCCCUGGCCAUAUAUGCUUUCUCUUUCUGUGGCUUUCGGCACUCCGACUUGAAGUGCCCGUAUAUUCCACAGCUGUGGCACCUAACCUUCUUGCGAUCAAACUUUUUCUUGGGGGCCGCACCUUUCUCCUCGGUACCUUGAGGAGCUUUCUUUGCUUGUGCUCGACCUCCUCCUUUAGCUUGAUCUCUUCUUCCACUAGACGAUGACGAAUCGCCAGUUUUCCUUGCGGCCAUAGCAGACCACUGCGCACGGGUCAUCAUCAGAUGCUCGUCAUCUUUGCCGUCUCCGAACACCAUCCGGAGUCGUUCAUCGUGCGCCUUGUAGCGCCCCACCAAGUCUUCCACCGUGAGGGUCUUCAGAUUGACACACUGCUCGAUUGAGGUUACGAUCUGGAUAUACUUUGGUGAUGCCGUGCAUAGGAACCGCCUGACCACGGAGAUCUCGGAGAGUGUCUUGCCUAGGUCGCGGAUCCCGUUAACGAGCGUCGUUACACGCGCUGCGAACGCGUCGACCGCCUCGUCUUCUCCCAUCUUCAAACUCUCAUAAUUCUUCAGCAAGGUUUGAAGGUUUGCCUCCCGGACACGCUCGUGUCCUUGAUGCAGGGUCUUGAUCGUAUCCCAUGCAUCCUUUGCAGAUUUCUUCCCCUUCAGGUGUUGUAGCACAUCGUUCGGCACAGCCGCAUGGAUGGCCGCCAACGCCAGGCGAUCAAUGCGAUAGUUCGCCGCUCCUUUGGCAUAAGUGUUGCCGCCAGGGUCGACUGCGUCCCAGAUCUCUUGAGAUUCCAUGGCCACCUCCAUCUUCAUUGCCCACAUGCUGUAGUCGCUGCGAUCGAGCCUUGGAAACGUCGCCGGUGCUGAGUUCCUUCCAGCCGCGGCUCCCGAUGUCCCCGCAUCCGUCGGCAUAGCUCCCGUGUACUAGGGACCGUUUUGCCGGAUUAACCUUAGCUCUGAUACCAAAUGUUGGAUCAAAACACAGGGAUCGCAUGACACAAGUACCGCGUCGAGUACUUUCCGACGAGGCCUCACUUGCGAAGGUAGUUGCUGGUAAUCACCAAUUACUUCCGGCGAGAUGCGCACAUAUACUAGUAUACGACCCAAGAAAUCAAUCAGCAACUAAGCUACUACUCACGUCGCGCACGCAUGAGGCAAAAACGAUUAGAGUUUGAUGGCCACAGGCACGUAUCGUGCCUGCUCUGUUUUUCUAUUUUUCUUAUUUUCUGGGGUUAGAGUUACAGGGUACGUAUACCCAUAUAUUUAUACAAGGCAAGGUCCAAACCGAAUAGAACUAGCUAACUGAAUACGAUUCACUUCACAAAUCCUAAACCGAAACUAAUACGUUCUAUCUUAAGCUCACAGGAUGGAGUAUGAUGUCAACUCAGUAUGGAAGGUUACAGAGUUGGCACUGCGGUGCAAAGAGCAACCAUCACGGGAACGACCAACAAUGACUGUUGUUGUUGUUGAGCUCAAUGAGUGCUUGGAGCUGGAGGUGUCUCGUAGAAUGGGCAAUUACAGAUCAGUCACUAGCGGCACAAACAGUCUCAGUGCAACAAGUGCUGACUUGCAUAGUGAUGCUCAAACAAGCGAUCUGAGACAGAAAAGCAUGCUUGAGGUGGGACAGGUUGGCGAUGCAUCGUCUACUCACGUAGGUCCCACACCACGAUGAUGCCAACAGUUUAAUUUUGUAUGGUUCAGAGGUCUAGUAUUAGUAGUCCAGCAUAUAGAUAGGGAACGCUUCACAAAAUAAAAUUACAUGGUAUCUUAUUAGAAUAUCUAAACAAAAAUUGUUCUCCCAGUUUGAUAGACUACAUAUAUGAAGGUUGUGAGUGUGAGCUUAGUGAGAAAAAUGGACCAUCUAUUUUCCAAAUGGAGCUAAGGCAUAUUAAUAACUUGUUGGCGACUCAAUCAAUAAUCGCUCAAUUUGGGACAGAGAUCUUCAGUGCAAACGUCAAAACAAAGAAAAUCAAGAAUCAGCAACCUCUGCUCCACCUUGACGUGGGUUUCAGAUGUAUCAGAAAGUUUAUGUGAGUAGGUUAUUUGUAUUAUAGUUGUCGACGAGAAGAAAUACCAAGAGCGAUCCUUCUAGAUGAAUGUGGUAAUAUGGAAAUAUUGUAAACAAUGCUAAACACAAAGAGUUCGUUACCUGACAGGAACAGCAGUUUUGUGAUAUCAGCAUCAUGUUAUAGAUCUUUUCCCAUAGCUCACCUAAGGGUCUCACAUUCCUUUUCUUUUUCUUCUCAUUAUGGUUUCCCAGUUCAUCUGUAGCUACUACAGUACAUGGUAAGGCAAACUAUAUGAGCAGAUCAGAAAAUAAUCGCUCUCUACCACGACAGAAAAAUAUAUUUCAAGUACAAACUUUGAUGGCAAUAAUGCAAAACUGAACCUGGUUGAGCAUCAUUUAGUCAGCGUAAUUGAUAAAUCCCCACCCACUCCAAGGACGGGUAGGGCAAGAACACACGUUUUCCGGGAAUCUGAAACGUCCCUCUCAAAAAGAGAUCAGAUCAACACAAAAGGCAGCAACUCAAGCAGUAAGAAAUUACGCUGUGGAGCGGCUUCCCCUUUUUGUCUGCAAGGGGGGACCUCAUAAUUUCUUUCUUGCGGCACCAAGAUAGUUGGCGCAUGCCUCUGGAGUAGAGUAUGACUCACCGGCGAUGUCGAUGGUGGCGGAUGAGAUGGGGAGGCCGACACCGCGGGCGGCAAGAGAAGCACCGGCGACGAGUUCCGUUUUUAGGGAGGCAUCGGCGACGAGCUUUUUUUUCUCUCUCAAGAGAGAGAUUUUUUUUUUUUUAGAACAGAGAAAGAGACGAUGAGCUGAACCCGGGUCCUGGGCGACCGGACCGUAUAUUUAGUGUGGGCAGAAAUCUUCCAUCUAUAUGUUUAUAGAUGGCCGAGAGAGCAUUUUGAUACAAUUUUGACCGGAUCGUAUAUUUAGUGUAGGCAGAAAUCUUCCAUCUACAUACACAUUUCGGCCCAUUGUCAUUUCACCACAACUAAAACAAAAAAAAAUCAAUUUCACCUAAAAAGUACGCGUCCGCCCGGUUAUGCUUUGAACUUCCGUUUAGUCUUAUUUGAACCUUAAAAUUCUUUAAACCGGAACACCUAUUUAGUCUAGCUAGGAUCUUGAAAUUUAAAAUCCUAUAAUCAUCUGUUUUUGUGCUAACAUGGCAGAUUUAAGACGGUU
Molecule: long non-coding RNA, 10152 nt
Filed under: Brachypodium distachyon (stiff brome)
Lineage: Eukaryota; Viridiplantae; Streptophyta; Magnoliopsida; Poales; Poaceae
Description: long non-coding RNA (BDIS_LNC004170)
Source: RNAcentral